UUGUUUUUUACUUCUGUUUACCUCACCUGCACUCGCUUUUUCUAACUCUUUUCUCCCUCUUUCAAUCACUUUUCCUCAUUCAGCUGAUGCUGAUAAUGAGUUUCAUUACUGAAAGUGGCCUUCCAGUGCUAUCUCAGAAGAUUGCAGUGCUAGUGAAAUGCAGCAGAUCAUCGCAGUGAUUCUGCUUUCUUCCCGCACGUUUUACCCAUCAUGCAGCAUGGCGGCAAAUGUGUGCCGCUGCAGACAUCGCAGUAUGCAAAAAAGGGCUUAAAGUACUUGAUUACAGAUCCAAGUGAACAAGGCUGAACAGGACAAUACAACACAGCCUCCAAGAAGACCAAGGCCAAUGUGGUUUGAACUACUUUGAAAAGAAGAGAUAGCGUAACAUAUCCACUCAACAAACAACCUUAACCUGCAACCAGUAAAUGGUGCCCAGUAAAGCUGCUGUCAAGCUUGAACUGCUUCGAGUGAUUCCUUAAGGCAGAAGACGUCACACAGUGGUCACAGAUAUACAAAGAAAAACCCAGGCGUAAAAUACAUACUGUGUGCUUUCACAGCUCAAAUAUGCACUCACAAUAAAAGAAAUACUGGGAAUGAUU
Acanthopagrus latus (yellowfin seabream) is the source of this 599-nucleotide long non-coding RNA. RefSeq lists it as uncharacterized. NCBI's taxonomy places the organism in Eukaryota, Metazoa, Chordata, Actinopteri, Spariformes, Sparidae. The transcript has 3 exons. The record is from RefSeq and is a predicted model, not a curated record.